UCCAGCUCCAAUAGCGUAUAUUAAAGUUGUUGCGGUAAAAAAGCUCGUAGUUGGAUUUCUGUUGAGGGCGACCGGUCCAUACAAUGUAUGUGUAUCUGGCUCGGCCUCGGCAUCCUCUCGAAGCACGUUACUGCGCUUGAUUGCGUGGUGCGGAUUUCGGGACCUUUACUUUGAGGAAAUUAGAGUGUUCACGGCAGGCUAUCGCCCGAAUACAUUAGCAUGGAAUAAUACUAUAGGAUCUUUGUCCUAUUUUGUUGGUUUCUAGGAUUGAGAUAAUGAUUAAUAGGGACAAUUGGGGGCAUUCGUAUCAACGCGUCAGAGGUGGAAUUCUUGGAUUGCGUUGCGACGAACUACUGCGAAAGCAUUUGCCAAGGAUGUUUUCAUUGAUCAAGAACGAAAGUAAGGGGAUCGAAGACGAUUAGAUACCGUCGUAGUCUUUACCAUAAACUAUGCCAACUAGAGAUGGGACAUCGUUCAUUUACGACUUGUUCCGCACCUUAUGAGAUAUCAAAGUCUUUGGGUUCCGGGGGGAGUACGCUCGCAAGUGUGAAACUUAAAGGAAUUGACGGAAGGGCACCACCAGGAGUGGAGCCUGCGGCUUAAUUUGACUCAACACGGGGAAACUCACCAGGUCCAGACAUAAUAAGGAUUGACAGAUUGAUAGCUCUUUCUUGAUUUUAUGGGUGGUGGUGCAUGGCCGUUCUUAGUUCGUGGAGUGAUUUGUCUGCUUAAUUGCGUUAACGAACGAGACCUUAACCUGCUAAAUAGGAGCGCCUAUCUUCGGAUAAGCGCCUUUCUUCUUAGAGGGACUUUAUGCGUUUCAGCAUGAGGAAGUUUGAGGCUAAAAC
This 848-nucleotide ribosomal RNA is filed under the name uncultured eukaryote. RNAcentral's name for it is "SSU rRNA". It matches the Rfam family "Eukaryotic small subunit ribosomal RNA", at positions 584 to 1457 of the family's 1831-position model. The record is from RNAcentral.